RNAcentral lists this ribosomal RNA (505 nucleotides) under uncultured bacterium. Its description in RNAcentral is "bacterial SSU rRNA". It matches the Rfam family "Bacterial small subunit ribosomal RNA", at positions 28 to 526 of the family's 1533-position model. The record is from RNAcentral.
GACGAACGCUGGCGGCGUGAAUUAGGCAUGCAAGUCGAACGGUAUCAUCCUUUCGGGGGUGAGAGAGUGGCGAACUGGUGAGUAACACGUAGGUUAUCUACCCUCAAGACGGGGACAACCCAGGGAAACUUGGGCUAAUACCGGAUGUGAGCAACUUUUAGUUGUUUGAAAGGUGGCGUAAGCUGUCGCUUGGGGAUGAGCCUGCGUCCUAUUAGUUAGUUGGUGAGGUAACGGCUCACCUAGGCAAUGAUAGGUAGGCGGCCUUAACGGGUGGUCGCCCACACUGGGAUUGAGAUACGGCCCAGACUCCUACGGGAGGCAGCAGUCGAGAAUAGUCUACAAUGGUCGGAAGACUGAUAGUGCGACGCCGCGUGAACGAUGAAUCCCUUCGGGGUGUAAAGUUCUUUUAUAUGUGAGCAGUGCUUCUUAUAUUAACAGUAUGGGGAGAGAGAUAUUAGCAUAUGAAUAAGCAACGGCUAACUCCGUGCCAGCACCGCGGUAAUCU